This 484-nucleotide ribosomal RNA is filed under the name uncultured bacterium. RNAcentral describes it as "bacterial SSU rRNA". It matches the Rfam family "Bacterial small subunit ribosomal RNA", at positions 28 to 511 of the family's 1533-position model. The record is from RNAcentral.
GACGAACGCUGGCGGCGUGCCUAACACAUGCAAGUCAACUUGACUGAAGGAGCAAUCUGACAGUAGAGUGGCGCAAGGGUGCGUAACGCGUAAGUAACUUGCCCAAGGUAAGGAAUAACGUCGAGAAAUCGGCGCUAAUACCUCAUAAUGCAGCGGAUCCGCAUGGGAUAUGUUGUUAAAGGUUUACCGCCUUGGGAUAGGCUUGCGUCUGAUUAGUUAGUUGGUGUGGUAACGGCACACCAAGGCUACGAUCAGUAACUGGUCUGAGAGGAUGAUCAGUCACACUGGAACUGAGACACGGUCCAGACUCCUACGGGAGGCAGCAGUGAGGAAUAUUGGGCAAUGCUCGAAAGAGUGACCCAGCAACGCCGCGUGGAGGAUGAAGGUAUUCUAUAUCGUAAACUCCUGUGAGAGCAGACGAAAGACCGAUUAUUAAUCUGGAUGACUGUAUGCUCAGAGGAAGCCCCGGCUAACUACGUGCCAG